RNAcentral lists this long non-coding RNA (256 nucleotides) under Lathyrus oleraceus (garden pea). RNAcentral's name for it is "Pisum sativum (pea) long non-coding RNA (PSAT_LNC025472)". The record is from RNAcentral. Lineage: Eukaryota; Viridiplantae; Streptophyta; Magnoliopsida; Fabales; Fabaceae.
UUGACCAAAGUCAACCUUCUAACCAAAAACUAUUUCUUAAUCAUUUUCAUAUUUUUAGUCCAUUUCUAAUCAUCAUAUUUUUAAACCCAUUUCUAAUCAUCAUAUUUUUGAACCCAUUCAUAAUCACAUUUCAACCCAUUUCAAAUCCAAUCCAAUAACCAUUUCAUUUUCAACAUCCAAUCUUUGAUCCACUUAUCCAAUUCAUACCCAACUUCUAUUACCAUAAAACCAAUUAUCCAUAUCAUAUAUCCAUUCA